GGUUGAAUGGUGUAACGGUAGCACAUAGGAUUUUGACAUGAAUCCUCUGACCCUCCUCGUGAGGGGUUGAGUUGAUUAGAUGUUCCUGCGACCUGGGUUCGACUCCCAGUUCGACCU
Peziza echinospora is the source of this 117-nucleotide non-coding RNA. Lineage: Eukaryota; Fungi; Ascomycota; Pezizomycetes; Pezizales; Pezizaceae. The record is from the annotation of a GenBank genome assembly.